AUUGAACGCUGGCGGCAGGCCUAACACAUGCAAGUCGAGCGGUAGAGAGAAGCUUGCUUCUCUUGAGAGCGGCGGACGGGUGAGUAAUGCCUAGGAAUCUGCCUGGUAGUGGGGGAUAACGUUCGGAAACGGACGCUAAUACCGCAUACGUCCUACGGGAGAAAGCAGGGGACCUUCGGGCCUUGCGCUAUCAGAUGAGCCUAGGUCGGAUUAGCUAGUUGGUGGGGUAAUGGCUCACCAAGGCGACGAUCCGUAACUGGUCUGAGAGGAUGAUCAGUCGCACUGGAACUGAGACACGGUCCAGACUCCUACGGGAGGCAGCAGUGGGGAAUAUUGGACAAUGGGCGAAAGCCUGAUCCAGCCAUGCCGCGUGUGUGAAGAAGGUCUUCGGAUUGUAAAGCACUUUAAGUUGGGAGGAAGGGCAGUAAAUUAAUACUUUGCUGUUUUGACGUUACCGACAGAAUAAGCACCGGCUAACUCUGUG
This 484-nucleotide ribosomal RNA is filed under the name uncultured bacterium. RNAcentral describes it as "partial 16S ribosomal RNA". It matches the Rfam family "Bacterial small subunit ribosomal RNA", at positions 30 to 507 of the family's 1533-position model. The record is from RNAcentral.